This 236-nucleotide unclassified non-coding RNA is filed under the name plant metagenome. RNAcentral describes it as "partial contains small subunit ribosomal RNA, internal transcribed spacer 1, and 5.8S ribosomal RNA". The record is from RNAcentral.
UUUCCGUAGGUGAACCUGCGGAAGGAUCAUUACUGAGUAAGGGCCUCUGGGGGUCCAACCUCCCACCCGUGUCUAACGAACCUUGUUGCUUCAGCGGCCCCGCCUCACGCCCGCUGGGUGGCAUCUCCCCCCGGGCCCGCGCCAGCCGAAACCACCUGGGAUCGCUGUCUGAAAUAUGAAGUUUGAGACACUUAUUAAAUUAAUUAAAACUUUCAACAACGGAUCUCUUGGUUCCG